Long non-coding RNA from Neolamprologus brichardi, 755 nucleotides. RefSeq lists it as uncharacterized. Lineage: Eukaryota; Metazoa; Chordata; Actinopteri; Cichliformes; Cichlidae. The record is from RefSeq and is a predicted model, not a curated record.
CUUUCUUUUUACCAUCAGUGUUUAAGUUGAUACUGCAUAUGUCUCAGAUGGAAGUAAACAAGCAAGCAUCACACUCAAAUUUAGCAAAAGCAUUUAAAAGGUGCGGUUUAAAGUCGUACAAAUACAAAAGAUUUGUGGCGAUUACUAAACCCAAACGAAGGCUUUUACACACCCAUACAGGACUUUUUAUUGGAUUCCCAUGCUCGUGUUUUUAAAAUAUGUGUCUAACUUGUUGGAUUGGUCAGGAUUGGGGGAAACUAGUAUCAAAUUAAGCAGGAAACAUCGUUCCUGAAAAAAUUCCUAGAGAAAUAGCAGAGACAAACAAAUCAAAUGUCUGACUGACAAGAUUUAAACAGAUACACUUCUUUAGCUUCUUCCACUUCUGUAAAAUGUUAAUGUUACUCAUUGGAUUUUGCUAUAGUUGCAGUAUAAACCUAAAUACAAAUGCUUGCUUCUUAAGAAAAGGUUUACUCUGGCUUUCUAUUGACUGCACUGAACACAGAAAUGUGAGAAAUACUUCAAAGUCAUUGCAGUCAGGGUGAAUUCAACCACGCCAGCGUGUCAGACAACACUUUGUCCAGUCAACCAGGUUUCUUGAUUUCUCCUAAAGCGUUGGCCUACACUUCUCUUCGAGCCUGACUUCAUCUGAGUGUAGAGGACGUUUGACCACCAGGUCCAGCUUAUGCCUUACUGGCUGACCGGCACAGGCGUACAGAGAAGACUGCGGCAGCCUCCGCCACCUUGGUCAGCUGGGU